UCUUGAAGUUUCGCAUGCAGU
Molecule: microRNA, 21 nt
Filed under: Brachypodium distachyon (stiff brome)
Lineage: Eukaryota; Viridiplantae; Streptophyta; Magnoliopsida; Poales; Poaceae
Description: bdi-miR7741-5p.2
Source: miRBase by way of RNAcentral